GAGGAGGGCGGCCUGCGGGUGUCCGCUGAUUCAGCCACGUGUGAUAGAUGACCAGGUGACUGCUUCCUUGGGGUCUGCACAUCAGUAGAAGAUACCCCAACUGGUUGUGGCUGACACGAUCAAACUCUGGCUCCCAGAAUGGGGAAAAGUGCCUCGUGUGAUCUGGAACAAAGACAUUUCAUAAUGAGAUUUAUCAAGCGGUGAAGAGGGAGUUUAACCAAACAGAAGCAGCAGCAUUCUGUCACUGGGAAAUACUGCUUUAUCCAGGAUUGCACCCCUCCCAGAAGACUGGAUCUUCUAGAUGCUGGAAUGUAAGAGCAGCUUUCUUGUGGAAUGAUGGAGAAACUUAUAAAACACCAGUUUACAGGAGGUGGAAGAAAAGAAUGGAAAUAGAUUCUGGAAAACUACUCUUACAUUAUGAUUUGAUUAUCUGUCCUGAUAAAUGAAUUUUAGUCCUCUAAACAUGAAAAAAAAACCAACUAGCAAUUUAAACAAAUUCUCAAUUAUAAAGGCAUGUAACUUUUUAAGGAGAAAUUAUAAUUUUUAUGAACUGGAGAUUUUUCAUAUGAAAUCAUGUAUUUUAAAUUAAUAUGAGCUAACAUAUUUAAAGUUGGAAAUAAAUAUAAGGAAUGCAAGGAUAAAUUUCUGCAUGUAAUAGUCAAUUGAAGUGAUAUAAUGCAUUUUUGUUGCCCUAUGCUGAAUUCAGUAAAAAUAAAGCCGAUGACU
Manis javanica (Malayan pangolin) is the source of this 726-nucleotide non-coding RNA. The record is from RefSeq and is a predicted model, not a curated record. NCBI's taxonomy places the organism in Eukaryota, Metazoa, Chordata, Mammalia, Pholidota, Manidae.